RNAcentral lists this ribosomal RNA (513 nucleotides) under uncultured bacterium. RNAcentral describes it as "partial 16S ribosomal RNA". It matches the Rfam family "Bacterial small subunit ribosomal RNA", at positions 28 to 523 of the family's 1533-position model. The record is from RNAcentral.
GAUGAACGCUGGCGGCGUGCCUAAUACAUGCAAGUCGAACGCGCAGCGAAAGGUGCUUGCACCUUUCAAGCGAGUGGCGAACGGGUGAGUAACACGUGGAUAACCUGCCUCAAGGCUGGGGAUAACAUUUGGAAACAGAUGCUAAUACCGAAUAAAACUUAGUGUCGCAUGAUACAAAGUUAAAAGGCGCUACGGCGUCACCUAGAGAUGGAUCCGCGGUGCAGUAGUUAGUUGGUGGGGUAAAGGCUUACCAAGACGAUGAUGCAUAGCCGAGUUGAGAGACUGAUCGGCCACAUUGGGACUGAGACACGGCCCAAACUCCUACGGGAGGCUGCAGUAGGGAAUCUUCCACGAUGGGCGCAAGCCUGAUGGAGCAACGCCGCGUGUGUGAUGAAGGCUUUCGGGUCGUAAAGCACUGUUGUAUGGGAAGAAAUGCUAAAAUAGGGAAUGAUUUUAGUUUGACGGUACCAUACCAGAAAGGGACGGCUAAAUACGUGCCAGCCGCCGCAGUAA